GACGAACGCUGGCGGCGUGCUUAACACAUGCAAGUCGAGCGGUAAGGCCCUUUCGGGGGUACACGAGCGGCGAACGGGUGAGUAACACGUGGGUGACCUGCCCUCAGCUCUGGGAUAAGCCUGGGAAACCGGGUCUAAUACUGGAUAUGACUCCAUGACGCAUGUUGUGGGGUGGAAAGCCUUGUGCGGCUGAGGAUGGGCCUGCGGCCUAUCAGCUUGUUGGUGGGGGAUGGCCUACCAAGGCGACGACGGGUAGCCGGCCUGAGAGGGCGACCGGCCACACUGGGACUGAGACACGGCCCAGACUCCUACGGGAGGCAGCAGUGGGGAAUCUUGCGCAAUGGGCGAAAGCCUGACGCAGCGACGCCGCGUGAGGGAUGACGGCCUGGUGUAACUC
This 397-nucleotide ribosomal RNA is filed under the name uncultured bacterium. RNAcentral's name for it is "bacterial SSU rRNA". It matches the Rfam family "Bacterial small subunit ribosomal RNA", at positions 28 to 431 of the family's 1533-position model. The record is from RNAcentral.